GGCCUCCCUGAACUGCCGCCAGCGGGACCUUCGCCCUCCGCCGCCGUCUGAGGAAACGAGCGGGCGCUUUGAAGUGCAGGCAACAGGCGAAGAGAUCUCUGUGCUAGAACAGAAAUGCCUACUUCCUUUCCUCUGUGGUUUUCUCCAGUUCCCCCUCCUAUCCUGCUCCUCAUCCAGGCAUAUUAGCAGAAUAAUUCUUUAAAACUGGGCGGUGUCGAAUGAAA
Molecule: long non-coding RNA, 224 nt
Filed under: Salvator merianae (Argentine black and white tegu)
Lineage: Eukaryota; Metazoa; Chordata; Lepidosauria; Squamata; Teiidae
Description: lncRNA (ENSSMRG00000022618.1)
Source: RNAcentral